Aedes albopictus (Asian tiger mosquito) is the source of this 118-nucleotide non-coding RNA. Lineage: Eukaryota; Metazoa; Arthropoda; Insecta; Diptera; Culicidae. The record is from Rfam.
UGCCCAGCAACUCCUAUCCCUACCUCCACGCGGUACCGGCCGGAAACUAUGAGCAAUCUUAGGGAAUAUCGGGUAAACAACCCCGGUGGGAACUUUGGUCGCGAAAUGACAGGGAAGG